This 354-nucleotide ribosomal RNA is filed under the name uncultured Enterobacteriaceae bacterium. Its description in RNAcentral is "bacterial SSU rRNA". It matches the Rfam family "Bacterial small subunit ribosomal RNA", at positions 1028 to 1382 of the family's 1533-position model. The record is from RNAcentral. Lineage: Bacteria; Pseudomonadati; Pseudomonadota; Gammaproteobacteria; Enterobacterales; Enterobacteriaceae.
UGUGAGACAGGUGCUGCAUGGCUGUCGUCAGCUCGUGUUGUGAAAUGUUGGGUUAAGUCCCGCAACGAGCGCAACCCUUAUCCUUGUUGCCAGCGGUCCGGCCGGGAAACUCAAAGGAGACUGCCAGUGAUAAACUGGAGGAAGGUGGGGAUGACGUCAAGUCAUCAUGGCCCUUACGACCAGGGCUACACACGUGCUACAAUGGCGCAUACAAAGAGAAGCGACCUCGCGAGAGCAAGCGGACCUCAUAAAGUGCGUCGUAGUCCGGAUUGGAGUCUGCAACUCGACUCCAUGAAGUCGGAAUCGCUAGUAAUCGUGGAUCAGAAUGCCACGGUGAAUACGUUCCCGGGCCUU